GGAUGAAGAACGUAGUGAAAUGCGAUACUUGGUGUGAAUUGCAGAAUCCCGUGAACCAUCGAGUCUUUGAACGCAAGUUGCGCCCGAAGCCAUUAGGCCGAGGGCACGCCUGCCUGGGCGUCACACGUCGUUGCCCCCCCAUCUACUCCUUCGGGAUUGCGGGGGGCGGAUGAUGGCCUCUCGUGCGCCUCGUCGCGCGGUUGGCCUAAAUGCCAAGUCCUCGGCGACGCACGCCACGACAAUCGGUGGUUGCGAAACCUCGGUUGCCUGUCGUGUGCGGUCGUCGCGCAUCGAGGGCUCGAAAAAAUUGCCGGGCUUCGGCUCGACUUUCAACGCGACCCCAGGUCAGGCGGGGUUACCCGCUGAAUUUAAGCAUAUCAAUAAGCGGAGGA
This 392-nucleotide unclassified non-coding RNA is filed under the name soil metagenome. RNAcentral's name for it is "partial contains 5.8S ribosomal RNA, internal transcribed spacer 2, and large subunit ribosomal RNA". The stretch from base 2 to 123 matches the Rfam family "5.8S ribosomal RNA", at positions 35 to 154 of the family's 154-position model. The record is from RNAcentral.